RNAcentral lists this ribosomal RNA (560 nucleotides) under Naganishia uzbekistanensis. RNAcentral describes it as "LSU rRNA". It matches the Rfam family "Eukaryotic large subunit ribosomal RNA", at positions 111 to 659 of the family's 3401-position model. The record is from RNAcentral. Lineage: Eukaryota; Fungi; Basidiomycota; Tremellomycetes; Filobasidiales; Filobasidiaceae.
AAAUUUGAAAUCUGGUAGCCUUCGGCUGCCCGAGUUGUAAUCUAGAGAAGUGUUUUCCGUGCCGGCCCAUGUACAAGUCCCUUGGAACAGGGCGUCAUAGAGGGUGAGAAUCCCGUCCUUGACAUGGACCCCCGGUGCUUUGUGAUACACUUUCAACGAGUCGAGUUGUUUGGGAAUGCAGCUCAAAAUGGGUGGUGAAUUCCAUCUAAAGCUAAAUAUUGGCGAGAGACCGAUAGCGAACAAGUACCGUGAGGGAAAGAUGAAAAGCACUUUGGAAAGAGAGUUAAACAGUACGUGAAAUUGUUGAAAGGGAAACGAUUGAAGUCAGUCAUGCUCUUUGGAUUCAGCCGUUCUGCGGUGUAUUUCCAUUGAGUGGGGUCAACAUCAGUUUUGACCGCUGGAUAAAGGCACUAGGAAGGUAGCACUCUCGGGUGAACUUAUAGCCUAGCGUCAUAUACAGUGGUUGGGACUGAGGAACGCAGCAUGCCUUUAUGGCCGGGAUUCGUCCACGUACAUGCUUAGGAUGUUGACAUAAUGGCUUUAAACGACCCGUCUUGAAA